UACGUAGGGUGCAAGCGUUAAUCGGAACUACUGGGCGUAAAGCGUGCGCAGGCGGCUUUGCAAGACAGAUGUGAAAUCCCCGGGCUUAACCUGGGAACUGCAUUUGUGACUGCAUGGCUAGAGUGCGGCAGAGGGGGAUGGAAUUCCGCGUGUAGCAGUGAAAUGCGUAGAUAUGCGGAGGAACACCGAUGGCGAAGGCAAUCCCCUGGGCCUGCACUGACGCUCAUGCACGAAAGCGUGGGGAGCGAACAGG
Molecule: ribosomal RNA, 253 nt
Filed under: uncultured bacterium
Lineage: Bacteria
Description: partial 16S ribosomal RNA
Rfam family: Bacterial small subunit ribosomal RNA
Source: RNAcentral